RNA transcript from Medicago truncatula (barrel medic), 3531 nucleotides. It is a transcript of the gene named pentatricopeptide repeat-containing protein At5g16860, with no coding region annotated. NCBI's taxonomy places the organism in Eukaryota, Viridiplantae, Streptophyta, Magnoliopsida, Fabales, Fabaceae. The transcript is spliced from 3 exons. The record is from RefSeq and is a predicted model, not a curated record.
AAUACACUUUUAAAUCUUUUCUUCUCACAACCUUACCUUCCCUCUCAUCCUUUUAAAAUCUCCCACCUUCUCUCCCUCCCUCCCCUUUCUUGAAUUAAACAUCCCUUAUUACCCAAAAAAACACCCAAAGUUGAUGAACGAUGAACCACCACAUCCUUUCUUGCUCUAUAUAGUUGAAUACUCAUUUCUCGAUUGCUUCUUUACAUAAUCAUCAUUUAAAAUUUAGCAUGCUCUUACGCUUCCCUCUAUUCAACUCAAAACCACCCCUACUAAUCAACACCCAUAACCUCCUCUUAUAUCAUUCUUCAACAAUUUCAAAACAACAAUGCAAAACAUUAACUCAAGCAAAACUACUUCAUCAACAAUACAUCAUAAACGGUCAUCUUUUAAACAGUUACACAAACGUAACCAACCUCAUUUACACUUACAUUUCCUCAAAUUCCAUAACAAACGCUAUUUUACUUUUAGAAAAAAACGUUACACCAUCUCACUCUUCCGUUUACUGGUGGAACCAACUUAUACGACACGCACUUCAUUUUAAUUCCCCGAACACGGCUUUACGCCUUUUUCGUCGUAUGAAAACACUUCACUGGACACCUGAUCAUUACACAUUCCCUUUUGUUUUCAAAGCGUGCGGAGAAAUUUCGAAUUUUGAACUUGGUGCUUCGAUUCAUGGUUGUGUUAUUCGAUUGGGUUUUGAGUCUAAUGUGUUUGUUUGUAAUGCUGUGAUUUCUAUGUAUGGGAAAUGUAAGGCGGUUGUGCAUGCGCGUAAGGUGUUUGAUGAAUUGUGUUAUAGAGGGAUUUGUGAUUCAGUGACGUGGAAUUCAAUUGUUUCUGUUUAUUCGCAUUGUUUUGUUCCGAAUGUUGCUGUUUCGCUUUUUAGGGAAAUGACGGUGGGGUAUGGGAUUUUGCCGGAUACUGUUGGUGUUGUUAAUAUACUUCCUGUUUGUGGUUAUCUUGGUUUGGGGUUAUGUGGGAGACAAGUUCAUGGUUUUUGUGUCAGAAGUGGGUUGGUUGAGGAUGUUUUUGUUGGGAAUGCUUUGGUUGAUAUGUAUGCAAAAUGCGGGAAAAUGGAGGAUGCUAAUAAGGUUUUUGAGAGGAUGAGGUUUAAGGAUGUUGUUACUUGGAAUGCCAUGGUUACCGGGUAUUCUCAAAAUGGUAGAUUUGAGGAUGCUCUUUCUUUGUUUGGGAAAAUGAGGGAAGAGAAAAUUGAGUCGGAUGUUGUUACUUGGAGUUCUGUUAUUUCUGGGUAUGCUCAGAGGGGGUUUGGUUGUGAAGCAAUGGAUGUGUUUCGGCAAAUGUGUGGAUGUCGUUGUCGUCCUAAUGUGGUUACGCUCAUGUCGUUGCUUUCUGCUUGUGCGUCUGUUGGAGCUUUGCUUCAUGGAAAAGAAACUCAUUGUUAUUCAGUUAAAUUUAUUCUCAAGGGGGAGCAUAAUGAUGAUACUGAUGAUUUGGCGGUGAUUAAUGCUCUAAUUGAUAUGUAUGCUAAAUGCAAGAGUUUAGAAGUGGCUCGUGCUAUGUUUGAUGAAAUAUGUCCUAAAGAUAGGGAUGUGGUGACUUGGACUGUGAUGAUUGGAGGUUAUGCUCAGCAUGGUGAUGCAAAUCAUGCCCUGCAACUUUUCUCUGAAAUGUUUAAAAUUGAUAACUGCAUAGUUCCUAAUGAUUUUACUAUAUCUUGUGUGCUCAUGGCCUGUGCUCGUUUGGCAGCAUUGAAGUUUGGUAAGCAAAUUCAUGCUUAUGUAUUGCGAAGAAGUCGUAUCGAUUCAGAUGUUUUGUUUGUGGCUAAUUGUCUCAUAGACAUGUAUUCCAAAUCUGGAGAUGUAGAUACUGCCCAAGUAGUUUUCGACAGCAUGUCAAAGAGAAAUGCUGUCUCUUGGACCUCGCUACUCACCGGGUAUGGCAUGCAUGGACGCAGCGAAGAUGCUUUCCGUGUUUUUGAUGAGAUGAGGAAAGAAGCUCUAGUGCCUGAUGGCAUAACCUUUCUUGUUGUGCUUUAUGCUUGUAGUCAUUCGGGAAUGGUGGAUCGUGGAAUCAAUUUGUUUUAUAGAAUGAGCAAGGAUUUUGGAGUUGAUCCUGGAGUAGAGCAUUAUGCUUGUAUGGUUGAUCUUUUGGGUCGAGCCGGUCGUCUAUGUGAAGCUACGAGACUCAUUAAUGAUAUGUCGAUGGAACCAACACCAGUAGUGUGGAUUACCUUGCUUAGUGCUUGUAGGACACACUCAAAUAUAGAACUUGCAGAAUUCGCGGCGAAAAAACUGUUAGAAUUGAAGGCUGACAAUGAUGGGACAUAUACACUGCUUUCAAAUAUAUAUGCUAAUGCCAGACGCUGGAAAGAUGUGGCGAGAAUUAGAUAUUUGAUGAAACGUACUGGAAUCAAGAAAAGACCUGGUUGGAGCUGGGUCCAAGGAAGGAAAGGUAUGGAAACCUUUUAUGUGGGAGACAGAACUCACUCACAAUCUCGGAAGAUAUAUGAAACGCUGGCAGAUUUGAUUCAGCGCAUUAAGGCCAUUGGGUAUGUUCCACAGACAAACUUUGCUCUUCAUGAUGUGGAUGAUGAAGAAAAGGGUGACCAGCUUUUAGAACACAGUGAGAAGUUGGCUCUUGCCUAUGCCAUCCUAACACUACCCCCAGGUGCACCUAUUCGAAUCACUAAGAAUUUACGCAUCUGUGGUGAUUGCCAUAGUGCCAUAACCUAUAUAUCCAUGAUUGUUGAACAUGAGAUCAUACUCAGAGACUCGAGUCGAUUCCAUCAUUUCAAAAAUGGAUCUUGCUCGUGCAAAGGGUACUGGUGAAAAUGGAUCAGAACAUUUGAUUUAGUAUACAACAUUUUUGCAAUGGGAGAGAGUCGUCUAUAUACGGUAAAACUUGGAGGAAAUUUUGAAACUUACUCAAGAGAUGAUGAUGCAGACCAAAGUCUAACACUUCAAGAUGCAUUUGGCAACAAAUCUAUACAUUACCAUGUGAUGAAAUUCCCAAAGCAACGAGAGGAAGUUAUUUUAAAAAAAAUGAAAACAGAGAAAACGAAGAUAAAACUGGAACGGGUUAUUGUAGGAUGCCCUACAGUACAGAUUACUAGGCUGUAUCGAUAGCUAUUCCAUAAGACCUGCUCCAUGGUAGGGCGAGAACGCGGGCUUUCAGUUAAGCAAGCAACUGCAAUCCUUAUCAUCGAUGCCACCUUGUGAACAAUGAUGUCAUUUGUAGGACGAGGGAGACGUUGGUCUAACAUAUCCAUCAAUGGAAUAGUAUCAAUUGUCAGGUCCGUAGCACUUUGUGAAGGUUGUUGCCACAAAUAAGUUACAAUAUCUCCAGGGUGCUUUCCAAAAUGUAUUUCCAAGGUUAAUACCCCAAAACUAUACACAUCACAUUUCUCAUUACUUCCAUUGUGUAUGCAAGUUCUGUAGAAAUUUAAAAAGAUUUAUCAUGUGAAUAAUAGGAUUCCAUAAACAAAACAUGAAAUGUAGAUUUAACAAUUGUAAAAUAAUUACAUUUUACAUGUAAGUAUAAGCUACAAAAUAUUAUAACCUUAAUUAAUAU